AGUCGAACGAGAUUAUCCAGCUUGCUGGAUAUGAAAGUGGCGCACGGGUGCGUAACGCGUGAGCAACCUACCUCUGUCAGGGGGAUAGCCCGGCGAAAGUCGGAUUAACACCGCAUGACAUUAUUGAUGUGGCAUCACAUUAUAAUCAAAUAUUUAUAGGACAGAGAUGGGCUCGCGUGACAUUAGCUAGUUGGAGAGGUAACGGCUCACCAAGGCAACGAUGUCUAGGGGCUCUGAGAGGAGAAUCCCCCACACUGGUACUGAGACACGGACCAUACUCCUACGGGAGGCAGCAGUAAGGAAUAUUGGUCAAUGGAGGGAACUCUGAACCAGCCAUGCCGCGUGCAGGAUGACUGCCCUAUGGGUUGUAAACUGCUUUUGUCGGGGAAUAAACCUACGUUUGUAAACGUAGCUGAAUGUACCCGAAGAAUAAGGAUCGGCUAACUCCGUGCCAGCAGCCGCGGUAAUACGGAGGAUCCAAGCGUUAUCCGGAUUUAUUGGGUUUAAAGGGUGCGUAGGCGGUUCUUUAAGUCAGAGGUGAAAGACGGCAGCUUAACUGUCGCAGUGCCUUUGAUACUGAAGAACUUGAAUUAGGUUGAGGAAUGCGGAAUGAGACAAGUAUCGGUGAAAUGCAUAUAUAUGUCUCAGAACCCCGAUUGCGAAGGCAGCAUUCCAAGCCUUUAUUGACGCUGAUGCACGAAAGCGUGGGGAUCGAACAGGAUUAGAUACCCUGGUAGUCCACGCCCUAAACGAUGAUAACUCGAUGUUGGCGAUAGACAGUCAGCGUCCCAGCGAAAGCGUUAAGUUAUCCACCUGGGGCAGUACGCCCGCAAGGGUGAAACUCAAAGGAAUUUGACGGGGGCCCGCACAAGCGGAAGGAGC
Molecule: ribosomal RNA, 882 nt
Filed under: Sphingobacterium spiritivorum
Lineage: Bacteria; Pseudomonadati; Bacteroidota; Sphingobacteriia; Sphingobacteriales; Sphingobacteriaceae
Description: bacterial SSU rRNA
Rfam family: Bacterial small subunit ribosomal RNA
Source: RNAcentral